UGGGGAAUAUUGCACAAUGGGGGAAACCCUGAUGCAGCGACGCCGCGUGAGCGAAGAAGGUUUUCGAAUCGUAAAGCUCUGUCCUAUGAGAAGAUAAUGACGGUAUCAUAGGAGGAAGCCCCGGCUAAAUACGUGCCAGCAGCCGCGGUAAUACGUAUGGGGCGAGCGUUGUCCGGAAUUAUUGGGCGUAAAGGGUACGUAGGCGGUCUAUUAAGGCAGGUGUGAAAGCGUGAGGCUUAACCUCAUUAAGCACUUGAAACUGAUAGACUUGAGUGAAGGAGAGGAAAGUGGAAUUCCUAGUGUAGCGGUGAAAUGCGUAGAUAUUAGGAGGAAUACCGGUGGCGAAGGCGACUUUCUGGACUUUUACUGACGCUCAGGUACGAAAGCGUGGGGAGCAAACAGG
This 403-nucleotide ribosomal RNA is filed under the name Verrucomicrobiota bacterium. Its description in RNAcentral is "Verrucomicrobia bacterium partial 16S ribosomal RNA". It matches the Rfam family "Bacterial small subunit ribosomal RNA", at positions 355 to 776 of the family's 1533-position model. Lineage: Bacteria; Pseudomonadati; Verrucomicrobiota. The record is from RNAcentral.